CAGCUCUAGGCGGUGGGUCACUCGGCUCGUGCGUCGAUGAAGAGCGCAGCCAGCUGCGUGAA
RNAcentral lists this ribosomal RNA (62 nucleotides) under Meretrix petechialis. RNAcentral's name for it is "partial 5.8S ribosomal RNA". It matches the Rfam family "5.8S ribosomal RNA", at positions 1 to 61 of the family's 154-position model. Rfam says of the family: 5.8S ribosomal RNA (5.8S rRNA) is a component of the large subunit of the eukaryotic ribosome. It is transcribed by RNA polymerase I as part of the 45S precursor that also contains 18S and 28S rRNA. The record is from RNAcentral. Lineage: Eukaryota; Metazoa; Mollusca; Bivalvia; Venerida; Veneridae.